AACGUAGGUGGCGGGCGUUAUCCGGAUUUACUGGGCGUAAAGGGUGUGCAGGCGGGCUGUUAAGUGGUGUAUGGAAUAUCCCGGCUCAACCGGGAAGGGUUAUGCCAGACUGGCAGUCUAGAGAGCGAGAGAGGGACGUGGAAUUCCGGGUGUAGUGGUGAAAUGCGUAGAGAUCCGGAGGAACCCCAGAGGCGAAGGCGGCGUCCUGGCUCGCAUCUGACGCUCAGACACGACAGCAUGGGGAGCGAACGGG
RNAcentral lists this ribosomal RNA (253 nucleotides) under uncultured prokaryote. RNAcentral describes it as "partial 16S ribosomal RNA". It matches the Rfam family "Bacterial small subunit ribosomal RNA", at positions 524 to 776 of the family's 1533-position model. The record is from RNAcentral.